UCAUAUUCUAGUAUGAGAAAUUAACGAUUUAAGUCCUUCUUAAAUGAGGCCAUUUACCCAUAGAGGGUGCCAGGCCCGUAUAACGUUAAUGAUUACUAGAUGAUGUUUCCAAAGAGUCGUGUUGCUUGAUAGUGCAGCACUAAGUGGGUGGUAAACUCCAUCUAAAACUAAAUAUAACCAUGAGACCGAUAGUAAACAAGUACCGUGAGGGAAAGUUGAAAAGAACUCUGAAUAGAGAGUUAAACAGUACGUGAAACUGCUUAGAGGUUAAGCCCGAUGAACCUGAAUAUCCGUUAUGGAAAAUUCAUCAUUAAAAUUGUAAUAUUUAAAUAAUAUUAUGAGGAUAGUGUGCAUUUUUUCCAUAUAAGGACAUUGUAAUCUAUUAGCAUAUCCCAAAUUUAUCAUAAAAUAUAACUUAUAGUUUAUUCAAAUUAAAGUGCUUGCAUUUUAACACAGAAUAAAUGUUAUUAAUUUGAUAAAGUGCUGAUAGAUUUAUAUGAUUACAGUGCGUUAAUUUUUCGGAAUUAUAUAAUGGCAUAAUUAUCAUUGAUUUUUAUGUUUAUUAUAUGCACUUGUAUGAUUAACAAUGCGAAAGAUUCAGGAUACCUUCGGGACCCGU
This 619-nucleotide ribosomal RNA is filed under the name Drosophila teissieri. Its description in RNAcentral is "eukaryotic LSU rRNA". It matches the Rfam family "Eukaryotic large subunit ribosomal RNA", at positions 162 to 652 of the family's 3401-position model. Lineage: Eukaryota; Metazoa; Arthropoda; Insecta; Diptera; Drosophilidae. The record is from RNAcentral.